AAAAACAUGUCCUUUUGUUGAAAAUAUAAGGUCUAACCUGCCCAAUGAUUUAAUUUAAUGGCCGCGGUAUAUUAACUGUGCUAAGGUAGCAUAAUCAUUUGUCUUUUAAUUGAAGGCUAGAAUGAAUGGUUGGACGAAGCAUAUUCUUUCUUUAAUUUAAUUUAUGAAUUUAAUUUUUUAGUUAAAAAGCUAAAAUGUAUUUGAGGGACGAGAAGACCCUAUAGAUCUUUAUAUUUUUAACUUUUAUUUAUUAUGGUAAUAUAAAUUAUUGUAAUAGUUUAAAGUAUUUGGUUGGGGUGACUGUAGAAUAAAAUCAACUUCUGUUUUUAUUUUUCAUUAAUUUAUGUAAUUUUGAUCCAGAUUAUCUGAUUAAAAGAUUAAGUUACCUUAGGGAUAACAGCGUAAUUCCUUUGGAGAGCUCAUAUCGAUAAAGGAGUUUGCGACCUCGAUGUUGGAUUAAAAUAAGUGUUAGGUGUAGAAGCUUAAAAACUAGGUCUGUUCGACCUUUAAUUUUUUACAUGAUCUGAGU
RNAcentral lists this ribosomal RNA (529 nucleotides) under Castolus sp. 00005146. RNAcentral's name for it is "partial 16S ribosomal RNA". It matches the Rfam family "Bacterial large subunit ribosomal RNA", at positions 1809 to 2610 of the family's 2925-position model. The record is from RNAcentral. Lineage: Eukaryota; Metazoa; Arthropoda; Insecta; Hemiptera; Reduviidae.